AGUUGAGCCGUUGGUGCGAGGCGCGCGUGCGCACCGUCUCCCGCUUUCGGUUGGGCGAGGUUUCAGUCUCCCAAGUGCGCUUCGCGGAAGCCUGUACCUUGCCAGCAAGCGGGGCCUCCGCCUGCGACACGGUUUAAAUUGGCAGACUAGUCGUACUUGCAUUGAGCUCUCUGAAACUACAUUAAUAAACUUAGUGGGGCUGAGGCCGGGCACCUCCACUUACACAGAAGUGUGAGAGGAUGCUUAACAGGACAUUGUGCUGCCUGACACAGAGCCAUUGCUGCUUCCCUGUGAGCCCCACUUCUGCACUGAUCACUUCUUCCUUUCAUUUUUGGCACUGCUAAAAUGUGGAUGUGCCAAGGCUCUCCAGCGACUUCCGCUGACAGCAUGCUGCGCUCUCUUUUCUUCCCAACCCUAUACCGCAUAUAACACCAAUGUCUCACAACAAAUGUAACUGAAGAACCUGAAGAAAGAGACAAUGCAUGUGCUCUUGAAAACAAGGGGAAAUUAUUGUGUGUGUU
This is a long non-coding RNA of Podarcis raffonei (Aeolian wall lizard), 521 nucleotides long. RefSeq lists it as uncharacterized. NCBI's taxonomy places the organism in Eukaryota, Metazoa, Chordata, Lepidosauria, Squamata, Lacertidae. The transcript has 2 exons. The record is from RefSeq and is a predicted model, not a curated record.